This 462-nucleotide ribosomal RNA is filed under the name uncultured bacterium. RNAcentral's name for it is "partial 16S ribosomal RNA". It matches the Rfam family "Bacterial small subunit ribosomal RNA", at positions 28 to 506 of the family's 1533-position model. The record is from RNAcentral.
GAUGAACGCUGACAGAAUGCUUAACACAUGCAAGUCUUUGGCGAAGCUGUGCUUGCACAGCCUAGCCAAGGCGGACGGGUGAGUAACGCGUAAGGAACUUGCCCUGCAGUCAGGGAUAACAGACGGAAACGACUGAUAAGACCUGGUAAAGUCAGGCGGACUCAUGUCCAGCCUGAUGAAAAGAGAUGCUGCAGGAGAGCCUUGCGUCCUAUUAGCUUGUUGGUGGGGUAACGGCCCACCAAGGCGAUGAUAGGUAGCCGGCCUGAGAGGGUGGACGGCCACAAGGGGACUGGGAUACGGCCCUUACUCCUACGGGAGGCAGCAGUGGGGAAUAUUGGACAAUGGGGGCAACCCUGAUCCAGCAAUUCUGUGUGCACGAUGAAGGUUUUCGGAUUGUAAAGUGCUUUCAGCAGGGAAGAAAAAAAUGACGGUACCUGCAGAAGAAGCGACGGCUAAAUACGU